UACGGAGGGGGCUAGCGUUGUUCGGAAUUACUGGGCGUAAAGCGCGCGUAGGCGGACCUGCAAGUCGGGGGUGAAAGCCCGAGGCUCAACCUCGGAACUGCCUUCGAUACUGCGGGUCUCGAGUCCGGGAGAGGUGAGUGGAAUUCCUAGUGUAGAGGUGAAAUUCGUAGAUAUUAGGAAGAACACCAGUGGCGAAGGCGGGUCUCUGGACAGUUCCUGACGCUGAGGCACGAAGGUCAGGGGAGCAAACGGG
RNAcentral lists this ribosomal RNA (253 nucleotides) under uncultured bacterium. Its description in RNAcentral is "partial 16S ribosomal RNA". It matches the Rfam family "Bacterial small subunit ribosomal RNA", at positions 524 to 776 of the family's 1533-position model. The record is from RNAcentral.